Molecule: ribosomal RNA, 468 nt
Filed under: uncultured bacterium
Lineage: Bacteria
Description: partial 16S ribosomal RNA
Rfam family: Bacterial small subunit ribosomal RNA
Source: RNAcentral
GACGAACGCUGGCGGCGUGCUUAACACAUGCAAGUCGAACGGAAAGGCCCUGCUUUUGUGGGGUGCUCGAGUGGCGAACGGGUGAGUAACACGUGAGUAACCUGCCCUUGACUUUGGGAUAACUUCAGGAAACUGGGGCUAAUACCUGAUAGGAGCUCCUGCUGCAUGGUGGGGGUUGGAAAGUUUCGGCGGUUGGGGAUGGACUCGCGGCUUAUCAGCUUGUUGGUGGGGUAGUGGCUUACCAAGGCUUUGACGGGUAGCCGGCCUGAGAGGGUGACCGGCCACAUUGGGACUGAGAUACGGCCCAGACUCCUACGGGAGGCAGCAGUGGGGAAUAUUGCACAAUGGGCGGAAGCCUGAUGCAGCAACGCCGCGUGCAGGAUGACGGCCUUCGGGUUGUAAACCGCUUUCGCCUGUGACGAAGCGUGAGUGACGGUAAUGGGUAAAGAAGCACCGGCUAACUACGUG